This is a non-coding RNA of Strigamia maritima, 69 nucleotides long. The record is from Rfam. Lineage: Eukaryota; Metazoa; Arthropoda; Chilopoda; Geophilomorpha; Linotaeniidae.
GGUUGGGUGCUAAUGGUAAAGCACCCAACCGGCAAUUGGGGAAUCUGGGUUCAAGUCCCGGUCCGGACU